GUGAACUAUUGGCGUGGAAGGUGCUUUGGAUGCGUUUGUGUCUUUUGCAAUUAUACUGCUUUUUCUUAAUGCAGAUGGUCAGUAGGACAGAAGGUAACAUUGAUGACUCGCUCAUUGGUGGAAAUGCCUCCGCUGAAGGCCCCGAGGGCGAAGGUACCGAAAGCACAGUAAUCACUGGUGUCGAUAUUGUCAUGAACCAUCACCUGCAGGAAACAAGUUUCACAAAAGAAGCCUACAAGAAGUACAUCAAAGAUUACAUGAAAUCUUCUUUAUUGGUGAAAACAUGAAUCCAGAUGGCAUGGUUGCUCUAUUGGACUACCGUGAGGAUGGUGUGACCCCAUAUAUGAUUUUCUUUAAGGAUGGUUUAGAAAUGGAAAAAUGUUAACAAAUUUGGCAAUUAUUUUGGAUCUAUCACCUGUCAUCAUAACUGGCUUCUGCUUGUCAUCCACACAACACCAGGACUUAAGACAAAUGGGACUGAUGUCAUCUUGAGCUCUUCAUUUAUUUUGACUGUGAUUUAUUUGGAGUGGAGGCAUUGUUUUUAAGAAAAACAUGUCAUGUAGGUUGUCUAAAAAUAAAAUGCAUUUAAACUCA
This 594-nucleotide small RNA is filed under the name Pan troglodytes (chimpanzee). RNAcentral describes it as "retained intron". Lineage: Eukaryota; Metazoa; Chordata; Mammalia; Primates; Hominidae. The record is from RNAcentral.